RNAcentral lists this ribosomal RNA (720 nucleotides) under Roseateles chitosanitabidus. RNAcentral describes it as "bacterial SSU rRNA". It matches the Rfam family "Bacterial small subunit ribosomal RNA", at positions 65 to 782 of the family's 1533-position model. The record is from RNAcentral. Lineage: Bacteria; Pseudomonadati; Pseudomonadota; Betaproteobacteria; Burkholderiales; Sphaerotilaceae.
AACGGUAACGCGGGGCAACCUGGCGACGAGUGGCGAACGGGUGAGUAAUGUAUCGGAACGUGCCCAGUUGUGGGGGAUAACUGCUCGAAAGAGCAGCUAAUACCGCAUACGACCUGAGGGUGAAAGCGGGGGAUCGCAAGACCUCGCGCAAUUGGAGCGGCCGAUAUCAGAUUAGGUAGUUGGUGGGGUAAAGGCUCACCAAGCCAACGAUCUGUAGCUGGUCUGAGAGGACGACCAGCCACACUGGGACUGAGACACGGCCCAGACUCCUACGGGAGGCAGCAGUGGGGAAUUUUGGACAAUGGACGCAAGUCUGAUCCAGCCAUGCCGCGUGCGGGAAGAAGGCCUUCGGGUUGUAAACCGCUUUUGUCAGGGAAGAAACGCUCUGGGUUAAUACCUCGGGGUAAUGACGGUACCUGAAGAAUAAGCACCGGCUAACUACGUGCCAGCAGCCGCGGUAAUACGUAGGGUGCAAGCGUUAAUCGGAAUUACUGGGCGUAAAGCGUGCGCAGGCGGUUAUGCAAGACAGAGGUGAAAUCCCCGGGCUCAACCUGGGAACUGCCUUUGUGACUGCAUAGCUAGAGUACGGUAGAGGGGGAUGGAAUUCCGCGUGUAGCAGUGAAAUGCGUAGAUAUGCGGAGGAACACCGAUGGCGAAGGCAAUCCCCUGGACCUGUACUGACGCUCAUGCACGAAAGCGUGGGGAGCAAACAGGAUUAGA